Long non-coding RNA from Telopea speciosissima, 159 nucleotides. RefSeq lists it as uncharacterized. The transcript has 3 exons. NCBI's taxonomy places the organism in Eukaryota, Viridiplantae, Streptophyta, Magnoliopsida, Proteales, Proteaceae. The record is from RefSeq and is a predicted model, not a curated record.
AGAGAGAGAGAGAGGUUUUGGGUGGAAACAUGCAUAGGACAGAAGUUUAUAAUGCACAAAUGCAUGCUAUUUGGUUAGAGAAACUUGCACAAGAUAGUUACAGUUAGCUGAGGGGUGCAUGGCCUGUCCAGGUUCAAUUAGACUUAACUCCAUAUCUUG